AGUUAGCGACAAGACGAAGGCAGGGAACAGACAGAGCAUGGAUGGAACCAUCAACAGAUGAGAUAGCUGUUGUGACUCCGCUCAUGCACUGCCUCUUCCCUGGCUUUGUUUCCAUUAAUAUUU
Molecule: microRNA precursor, 123 nt
Filed under: Trifolium pratense (red clover)
Lineage: Eukaryota; Viridiplantae; Streptophyta; Magnoliopsida; Fabales; Fabaceae
Description: pre miRNA MIR408
Rfam family: MIR408 microRNA precursor family
Source: RNAcentral